This 596-nucleotide long non-coding RNA is filed under the name Macaca nemestrina (pig-tailed macaque). RNAcentral's name for it is "lncRNA (ENSMNEG00000046170.1)". Lineage: Eukaryota; Metazoa; Chordata; Mammalia; Primates; Cercopithecidae. The record is from RNAcentral.
GGCGUGGGUGGCUAGGCUGCUGGGAGGAGAGUCUUGAACAGGAGUCUACCCUCUGCACAUUCAAGGCCUUGUCACUAAGACGUUCCUUUAACAGAAGAGCGCUCUCAGCCCUCAAAGAUCCCAUGCAGAGGGCUCACCUACUGCAGGAUAAGAGAGCCAAAAUUGAGAAUCACCAGAGAACUCUGUUCCAGGAAUCAAGUGAUUAAAGUUACAGUUCCAGCAUCAUCACUAAAUAGCAAGGUGACCUUGGAUGCCUCAUUUUAUCAAAUCUAUUUUUCAGCCUCUAAAAGUGGGAUGAUAAUUUCACAGAUUUGUUAUAAGGAUGAAAAGAGAAAAUGGAUGGGAAAAGUCUGUGAAAGCUUUUGAGAUGUAGGAUAAUAAAAACGGGAAGAGAUCUGCUGGGAGGUUAUCUAGCCCAACCUUCCACCAGGUGCUCAUUGAGACUCUGCAUGGAACUUUCACUAAUGGAAAAAUCACUCCCUCACAGCAAGGUUUCAUUGUUGGCAGACACAAAAAGGACUUUUAAAAAUUAUUUUUAAAAUUUAAGAGAUAUUGUGUCUCUAGGAUGAUAUACAUGUUUCAAGUAGUUUUAAAAG